GUAUAUGGUCAUAGCACCCUGAAAGCGCCGGAUCGCCUCUGAUCUCGGAAGCUAAGCGGGGUCAGGCCUGGUUACUACGUGGA
Molecule: ribosomal RNA, 83 nt
Organism: Macaca nemestrina (pig-tailed macaque)
Lineage: Eukaryota; Metazoa; Chordata; Mammalia; Primates; Cercopithecidae
Source: Ensembl